AACAGGUGAAGUUCUGCUUAAUUUUACCCUUUUUGCCGUUUUUACCCUUUAAAUCCCUUGUCUUGCUGUGGCGUGAGGUCGUGCUGGCCGCGCUGGCAGCGGAUGCCCGCUCCAUCCUGGUUUUAAUGCUAAAUUACGCUGUGAGUUACACGCGGCUGCGGGUGCUGCGGCGCCGCCUCAGCCGUCCCUCACAGCCAUUUUCUUUUCUACAGGUUUCAAAGACUCUUCAAGCUUGGUUUGUGCGGCCCGCUGCAGCUGCCAGAAUCGGAAAAGUUGGAGUAAAACAUGGUUUUUGAAGAAACUGCUGGGGCGAAGUAACAGAAAAAUCCGUGGAAGAGGGGUGAGUAUAUUAAAGAGUGCCCAAAUUAGGUUGCCCGAGUCCUGUUAGUGCACUAUGUGUAACUAAAACGUAGCCACAGAAAUCAAAACGCGGUGGAACCAAGGAUGUGUAAAUCCAGUGGUUUUACAAAAAACACGUGCUUGGAGCACGGAAAAAGACGUGUGGCCCUGGCCCCUUGGUGGGACACGCAGUUCCUGGAUUUUGUGGAUCAGGGCCUGGAGGUGCACGAGGUAUGGGUAAGCUGCACGGGAAGGAGGGACAGUCCACGGCGGGAGGGGUUGGCUGGUCAGCAAAGAGCUGCUUUUGGGAUGCUUAAAACUGGGGAAGGGGAGCUGGGGGGAUCAUACGGGUUAAGGAGAUACUGCGUGUGCAUCCUGCGGGCUACACUUGCAACCUUCCCGUUGAUUCCGACGUUGUGGGGCCACGAUGUUAACAGGGAAAGGUAAUGGUGAAAGUGGGUGGGGUGUAUAUAGAACGUGAGUGCAAGCAGUUUGUGUGUUCAGGCGCUGAAAUACACAUC
This 860-nucleotide long non-coding RNA is filed under the name Taeniopygia guttata (zebra finch). RNAcentral describes it as "small nucleolar RNA host gene 3 (SNHG3)". Lineage: Eukaryota; Metazoa; Chordata; Aves; Passeriformes; Estrildidae. The record is from RNAcentral.